Molecule: ribosomal RNA, 253 nt
Filed under: uncultured bacterium
Lineage: Bacteria
Description: partial 16S ribosomal RNA
Rfam family: Bacterial small subunit ribosomal RNA
Source: RNAcentral
UACGGAGGAUGCAAGCGUUAUCCGGAAUGAUUGGGCGUAAAGCGUCCGCAGGCGGCUGUGUAAGUCUGCUGUUAAAGAGUGAGGCUCAACCUCAUAAAGGCAGUGGAAACUACAUGGCUAGAGUGCGUUCGGGGCAGAGGGAAUUCCUGGUGUAGCGGUGAAAUGCGCAGAUAUCAGGAGGAACACCGGUGGCGAAGGCGGGUCUCUAGGCCGACACUGACGCUGAGGAGCGAAAGCGUGGGGAGCGAACAGG